CCUUAAGUCUUCACAUGCAAAAGCCUCGAUUUCGCGGUAAGGGUUUAGAGAUCUAGGAGAUUUGAGCGUGGUUUAAGAAAUUUUAGGUUCAGAUUCGACCUCGGAAGGGCGUGUUUAGUAAGCUAGGUGGUGUUUUGGGGUAGGGUUACCGGAGAAGGACGGAGGCUCCUCCGUGAGCCGCCGCCUUCGGUCGUCUUCUCCAAGAGAGACGAGUUUUUAGGGUUUCUGCAAAGCUCCUUCUGAGCGUAAGUUUGAAGAGAGAGAAAG
This 267-nucleotide long non-coding RNA is filed under the name Lathyrus oleraceus (garden pea). RNAcentral describes it as "Pisum sativum (pea) long non-coding RNA (PSAT_LNC037164)". The record is from RNAcentral. Lineage: Eukaryota; Viridiplantae; Streptophyta; Magnoliopsida; Fabales; Fabaceae.